RNAcentral lists this ribosomal RNA (415 nucleotides) under uncultured bacterium. Its description in RNAcentral is "bacterial SSU rRNA". It matches the Rfam family "Bacterial small subunit ribosomal RNA", at positions 355 to 787 of the family's 1533-position model. The record is from RNAcentral.
UGAGGAAUAUUGGGCAAUGGGGGGAACCCUGACCCAGCCAUGCCGCGUGAGUGAAGAAGGUUUUCGAAUUGUAAAGCUCUUUCGGGUGUGACGAUGAUGACGGUAGCACCUAAAGAAGCCCCGGCAAACUUCGUGCCAGCAGCCGCGGUAAUACGAAGGGGGCAAGCGUUGUUCGGAAUUACUGGGCGUAAAGGGUGUGUAGGUUGACGUGUAAGAUAGCGGUGAAAUGCCGGGGCUCAACCUCGGAAUUGCCAUUAUAACUAUGCGUCUAGAAUUAUAGAGAGGAUAGCGGAAUACCCAGUGUAGAGGUGAAAUUCGUAGAUAUUGGGUAGAACACCAGUGGCGAAGGCGGCUAUCUGGCUAUAUAUUGACACUGAGGCACGAAAGCAUGGGGAUCAAACAGGAUUAGAUACCC